This 233-nucleotide ribosomal RNA is filed under the name uncultured bacterium. Its description in RNAcentral is "partial 16S ribosomal RNA". It matches the Rfam family "Bacterial small subunit ribosomal RNA", at positions 103 to 334 of the family's 1533-position model. The record is from RNAcentral.
CGGGUGAGUAACGCGUGAGGAACCUGCCUCAAAGAGGGGGACAACAGUUGGAAACGACUGCUAAUACCGCAUAAGCCCACGGCUCGGCAUCGAGCAGAGGGAAAAGGAGUGAUCCGCUUUGAGAUGGCCUCGCGUCCGAUUAGCUAGUUGGUGAGGUAAUGGCCCACCAAGGCGACGAUCGGUAGCCGGACUGAGAGGUUGAACGGCCACAUUGGGACUGAGACACGGCCCAG